GACGAACGCUGGCGGCGUGCUUAACACAUGCCAGUCGAACGGAAAGGCCCUGCUUUUGUGGGGUGCUCGAGUGGCGAACGGGUGAGUAUCACGUGAGUAACCUGCCCUUGACUUUGGGAUAACUUCAGGAAACUGGGGCUAAUACCGGAUAGGAGCUCCUGCUGCAUGGUGGGGGUUGGAAAGUUUCGGCGGUUGGGGAUGGACGCGCGGCUUAUCAGCUUGUUGGUGGGGUAGUGGCUUACCAAGGCUUUGACGGGUAGCCGGCCUGAGAGGGUGACCGGCCACAUUGGGACUGAGAUACGGCCCAGACUCCUACGGGAGGCAGCAGUGGGGAAUAUUGCACAAUGGGCGGAAGCCUGAUGCAGCAACGCCGCGUGCGGGAUGACGGCCUUCGGGUUGUAAACCGCUUUCGCCUGUGACGAAGCGUGAGUGACGGUAAUGGGUAAAGAAGCACCGGCUAACUACGUG
This 468-nucleotide ribosomal RNA is filed under the name uncultured bacterium. Its description in RNAcentral is "partial 16S ribosomal RNA". It matches the Rfam family "Bacterial small subunit ribosomal RNA", at positions 28 to 507 of the family's 1533-position model. The record is from RNAcentral.